RNAcentral lists this long non-coding RNA (220 nucleotides) under Lathyrus oleraceus (garden pea). RNAcentral's name for it is "Pisum sativum (pea) long non-coding RNA (PSAT_LNC013297)". Lineage: Eukaryota; Viridiplantae; Streptophyta; Magnoliopsida; Fabales; Fabaceae. The record is from RNAcentral.
AACGAUCCAACUUGACAAGGUCCUGGUUCAUAAUUUUGAUGCUUGAAACUACAACGUCGGAAGUCAUUAUUUGAAUAGUUUUUAAUAAAUCGUUAGUGUUGAAUGAAUCCAUGUCUGAAUCGUGAAUGAUGUCACUUUCCUUAAAAGUAUUUCAAGCAUUCUCUUUAUAGUACAUAAUAAUACCCAGGAUAAUUAGGUCAAACAACGACCAAAAUCAGGA